ACCCGCGUCCCCUUCUGCAAGCUGAGCCAGGCAAGGGGGCGCCCAAAGCCGCUGACCGGGCUCGGCAGCGUCCGAGGGGCGUCCAGACCCGCCGCCUUGGCUGGCUGGAAGGAGCAGGGUCCGGGGGCGCCCAGUCCCGCUCACUGCGCCGGGCUUAGGUGAAGGAGACGGGUCGGUAACGCAGCCGGGCGCGGCGGCAUCCCGCUGAGGGCGCAGAGCCCUGGAGAGGGUCCCCCAGCGCUGGAAGCGGGUGUGCGCUCCCGCUGCACAGGGCACCGGCCGCUCCCGCAACGCCGGCACGGUGGGAUCAUUUGCAGUUAUCUGAACUAGAAUGUAACCAACUGAAAAGGUUUCAUUUUCUAACAGACUGUUGAGGAGAACCAUUGCCUGGAUGUCCAUCAUGUCUAAUUUUAUGGACCUACCUAAGGUAAUUUCCCAAAUCCAUGUCCACGUCUGUCAGAAAUCCAGACUAAAUGGAGACAGUGAACCUUUUAGAACCAAGCUGGAGGAACACUACUGCGCUCAGUCUAACUACUAUACCAAUAGACACUGGUAAAAUUUCCUAAUUUUAGAGAAAAGCACAAUACUAAAGUUUUCUAAGCAAAGAGAAAAGAUUUAAAGCCUACCUGAAGAGUAAAGGGCCUUAUAUCUCUUCUGAACAACAUCUUUAAGAGCAGCUACUAUUCCUCCAUCGUUGGGUGACUGUGGUGAUGUUGGACUUGGAGUCACCUAUUUAAAUUUAAAUUAAAUUAAAUUUAAAUAGGAGUGAUCAUUUAGACUUGUAUAAUGGAGCUAUUAAGACCAGAAAUAUGGAGUUAUGUUUAAGUUACUAUUUAUUAAGUUAGGCAAGAAUGUAUUUAGUAAAGAUUCAACAUGUUCUUUAAGUGUAUUAUAUGAUGAUUAAUUGGUUGGCCAAAAUAAGAAAUAAAAUUUGUUUUAGUUCAAUAACUCUGCA
This 955-nucleotide long non-coding RNA is filed under the name Chrysemys picta bellii (western painted turtle). RNAcentral's name for it is "lncRNA (ENSCPBG00000018436.1)". The record is from RNAcentral. Lineage: Eukaryota; Metazoa; Chordata; Testudines; Emydidae.